AAAUUGAAGAGUUUGAUCAUGGCUCAGAUUGAACGCUGGCGGCAGGCCUAACACAUGCAAGUCGAACGGUAACAGGAAGAAGCUUGCUUCUUUGCUGACGAGUGGCGGACGGGUGAGUAAUGUCUGGGAAACUGCCUGAUGGAGGGGGAUAACUACUGGAAACGGUAGCUAAUACCGCAUAACGUCGCAAGACCAAAGAGGGGGACCUUCGGGCCUCUUGCCAUCGGAUGUGCCCAGAUGGGAUUAGCUAGUAGGUGGGGUAACGGCUCACCUAGGCGACGAUCCCUAGCUGGUCUGAGAGGAUGACCAGCCACACUGGAACUGAGACACGGUCCAGACUCCUACGGGAGGCAGCAGUGGGGAAUAUUGCACAAUGGGCGCAAGCCUGAUGCAGCCAUGCCGCGUGUAUGAAGAAGGCCUUCGGGUUGUAAAGUACUUUCAGCGGGGAGGAAGGGAGUAAAGUUAAUACCUUUGCUCAUUGACGUUACCCGCAGAAGAAGCACCGGCUAACUCCGUGCCAGCAGCCGCGGUAAUACGGAGGGUGCAAGCGUUAAUCGGAAUUACUGGGCGUAAAGCGCACGCAGGCGGUUUGUUAAGUCAGAUGUGAAAUCCCCGGGCUCAACCUGGGAACUGCAUCUGAUACUGGCAAGCUUGAGUCUCGUAGAGGGGGGUAGAAUUCCAGGUGUAGCGGUGAAAUGCGUAGAGAUCUGGAGGAAUACCGGUGGCGAAGGCGGCCCCCUGGACGAAGACUGACGCUCAGGUGCGAAAGCGUGGGGAGCAAACAGGAUUAGAUACCCUGGUAGUCCACGCCGUAAACGAUGUCGACUUGGAGGUUGUGCCCUUGAGGCGUGGCUUCCGGAGCUAACGCGUUAAGUCGACCGCCUGGGGAGUACGGCCGCAAGGUUAAAACUCAAAUGAAUUGACGGGGGCCCGCACAAGCGGUGGAGCAUGUGGUUUAAUUCGAUGCAACGCGAAGAACCUUACCUGGUCUUGACAUCCACGGAAGUUUUCAGAGAUGAGAAUGUGCCUUCGGGAACCGUGAGACAGGUGCUGCAUGGCUGUCGUCAGCUCGUGUUGUGAAAUGUUGGGUUAAGUCCCGCAACGAGCGCAACCCUUAUCCUUUGUUGCCAGCGGUCCGGCCGGGAACUCAAAGGAGACUGCCAGUGAUAAACUGGAGGAAGGUGGGGAUGACGUCAAGUCAUCAUGGCCCUUACGACCAGGGCUACACACGUGCUACAAUGGCGCAUACAAAGAGAAGCGACCUCGCGAGAGCAAGCGGACCUCAUAAAGUGCGUCGUAGUCCGGAUUGGAGUCUGCAACUCGACUCCAUGAAGUCGGAAUCGCUAGUAAUCGUGGAUCAGAAUGCCACGGUGAAUACGUUCCCGGGCCUUGUACACACCGCCCGUCACACCAUGGGAGUGGGUUGCAAAAGAAGUAGGUGGCUUAACCUUCGGGAGGGCGCUUACCACUUUGUGAUUCAUGACUGGGGUGAAGUCGUAACAAGGUAACCGUAGGGGAACCUGCGGUUGGAUCACCUCCUUACCUUAAAGAAGC
Molecule: ribosomal RNA, 1554 nt
Filed under: Escherichia coli
Lineage: Bacteria; Pseudomonadati; Pseudomonadota; Gammaproteobacteria; Enterobacterales; Enterobacteriaceae
Description: bacterial SSU rRNA
Rfam family: Bacterial small subunit ribosomal RNA
Source: RNAcentral